This 358-nucleotide long non-coding RNA is filed under the name Rosa chinensis. Its description in RNAcentral is "sRNA RchiOBHm_Chr4g0388151". Lineage: Eukaryota; Viridiplantae; Streptophyta; Magnoliopsida; Rosales; Rosaceae. The record is from RNAcentral.
AAAAAAAAAAAUGAAUGAAAAAGAAAGAGAUAGAAGACCGCCUUCAACGGCGUCGUCGAGGAGCUCAAGAAUUUCACGACUCGCGUCCCCCAAGUGCUUCCCCUUUCAGGCGACGGAGGAAGCACCGCCGAUAUUGUCCGCGUCCUCAGAGAGACUCAUUAUCUCAAAUCUCCUCUUCAAAUUGGAUUUCGGGAGUCCGAUGCCGGCGAUGCAGGAAGAUCCGCCGGACGGCUGAGGCGAUAUCCAGAAAUCCGAAACCGUUACUGCGAUGGUCCUCAGAACCAAAUAGAAAAAUGCCAGCUACAGCUCGUCGAACACGAAGACAUCGAUGAUGAAGACGACCUCUUCGAAGCGAUCG